RNAcentral lists this non-coding RNA (21 nucleotides) under Caenorhabditis elegans. Lineage: Eukaryota; Metazoa; Nematoda; Chromadorea; Rhabditida; Rhabditidae. The record is from RNAcentral.
GAGGGAUGGUAAACGAACGAA